Molecule: non-coding RNA, 114 nt
Filed under: Deltaproteobacteria bacterium
Lineage: Bacteria; Pseudomonadati; Myxococcota; Myxococcia
Description: TPP sequence
Rfam family: TPP riboswitch aptamer (THI element)
About the family: Vitamin B(1) in its active form thiamin pyrophosphate (TPP) is an essential coenzyme that is synthesised by coupling of pyrimidine and thiazole moieties in bacteria. The previously detected thiamin-regulatory element, thi box was extended, resulting in a new, highly conserved RNA secondary structure, the THI element, which is widely distributed in eubacteria and also occurs in some archaea.
Source: RNAcentral
AGAAAUGUCGCGGGGAGUUGGGAUAGGCCUGGCUGAGAGGGUGACCGGACAGUCACCGACCCGCUGAACCUGACCUGGAUCAUACCAGCGGAGGGACCGACAGGUGACCUAAAA